RNAcentral lists this long non-coding RNA (665 nucleotides) under Felis catus (domestic cat). RNAcentral describes it as "lncRNA (ENSFCAG00000049212.1)". The record is from RNAcentral. Lineage: Eukaryota; Metazoa; Chordata; Mammalia; Carnivora; Felidae.
AGUGAGGAUGAUGAAGGGGGAGGAUGAGAGGGACGGCUGGGCAGAGGUAGGAGAGCUUGGGUGAGGUUGUGCUGUCCCUUGAAUGACACUCAAGGCUGUGGCCCCGCAGCAGAGGAGAGCUGUGGUGGCGGCGGCGGCAGCGGCGGCGGCGGCAGCCUGAGCGAGCAGUAGCCGAGCUGUCAAACUCGUUGCAGAGUUCUCAGAAUUCCCCCUCGGAGAAGCGGAAAGUUGGGGAAGUGCAAGCUGGUUACCCAGACGGCGGGUGGGCUGAGCAUCGCUUGGCGGGGUGCAGGCCGGGACGGGAACUCAGCGGAGGGGCGGAGUUGUCCGGAAGAAACCUUAAGACGUCCUGGCCCGACAGCUACCUGCUCCACAGGAGGGAAAGAAGGGUCCGACCGAACUUGAGCACCGCGGCAGAAUCCGGGCUGGAGCUCAGCUCGCAGGCCCACCACCGGCUUCCUUUCCCUUCACCAAGUUUGCAGCCUGGAGGAGAGCCUACGGCACAUCUGAAGAGGGAGAAGCCAUCUUGCCUCUAUGACUAGACAGGCAUGAGGAUAAAAUCUCUGUGAGGAUAAUGGAACAAAGUUGUAGGAGGGGCCUAGAGUCCCUUCCUUUAGACUUCUUGUUAUGUGAGGAAAAUAAAAUGCUACUACAAGGUUAAGCCA